AGACCAGUGGUGCAGUGGUUAGCAUAUCGCUCUUAUAUGGAACUCGCCCCCAGCGGGUGAUUCCGUAUGAUGUGAUGCGAAGAUCGGCGGUUCGAUCCCGCCCUGGUCUA
RNAcentral lists this transfer RNA (110 nucleotides) under Rasamsonia emersonii. Its description in RNAcentral is "tRNA-Ile". It matches the Rfam family "tRNA". From Rfam's summary of the family: Transfer RNA (tRNA) molecules are approximately 80 nucleotides in length. Their secondary structure includes four short double-helical elements and three loops (D, anti-codon, and T loops). Further hydrogen bonds mediate the characteristic L-shaped molecular structure. tRNAs have two regions of fundamental functional importance: the anti-codon, which is responsible for specific mRNA codon recognition, and the 3' end, to which the tRNAs corresponding amino acid is attached (by aminoacyl-tRNA synthetases). tRNAs cope with the degeneracy of the genetic code in two manners: having more than one tRNA (with a specific anti-codon) for a particular amino acid; and 'wobble' base-pairing, i.e. permitting non-standard base-pairing at the 3rd anti-codon position. RNAcentral also lists the same sequence under 1 other name. Lineage: Eukaryota; Fungi; Ascomycota; Eurotiomycetes; Eurotiales; Trichocomaceae. The record is from RNAcentral.